GACGAACGCUGGCGGCGUGCUUAACACAUGCAAGUCGAACGGAAAGGCCCUGCUUUUGUGGGGUGCUCGAGUGGCGAACGGGUGAGUAACACGUGAGUAACCUGCCCUUGACUUUGGGAUAACUUCAGGAAACUGGGGCUAAUACCGGAUAGGAGCUCCUGCUGCAUGGUGGGGGUUGGAAAGUUUCGGCGGUUGGGGAUGGACUCGCGGCUUAUCAGCUUGUUGGUGGGGUAGUGGCUUACCAAGGCUUUGACGGGUAGCCGGCCUGAGAGGGUGACCGGCCACAUUGGGACUGAGAUACGGCCCAGACUCCUACGGGAGGCAGCAGUGGGGAAUAUUGCACAAUGGGCGGAAGCCUGAUGCUGCAACGCCGCGUGCGGGAUGACGGCCUUCGGGUUGUAAACCGCUUUCGCCUGUGACGAAGCGUGAGUGACGGUAAUGGGUAAAGAAGCACCGGCUAACUACGUGCCAGCAGCCGCGGUGAUACGUAGGGUGCGAGCGUUGUCCGGAUUUAUUGGGCGUAAAGGGCUCGUAGGUGGUUGAUCGCGUCGGAAGUGUAAUCUUGGGGCUUAACCCUGAGCGUGCUUUCGAUACGGGUUGACUUGAGGAAGGUAGGGGAGAAUGGAAUUCCUGGUGGAGCGGUGGAAUGCGCAGACAUCAGGAGGAACACCAGUGGCGAAGGCGGUUCUCUGGGCCUUUCCUGACGCUGAGGAGCGAAAGCGUGGGGAGCGAACAGGCUUAGAUACCCUGGUAGUCCACGCUGUAAACGGUGGGUACUAGGUGUGGGGUCCAUUCCACGGGUUCCGUGCCGUAGCUAACGCUUUAAGUACCCCGCCUGGGGAGUACGGCCGCAAGGCUAAAACUCAAAGGAAUUGACGGGGCCCCGCACAAGCGGCGGAGCAUGCGGAUUAAUUCGAUGCAACGCGUAGAACCUUACCUGGGUUUGACAUGGAUCGGGAGCGCUCAGAGAUGGGUGUGCCUCUUUUGGGGUCGGUUCACAGGUGGUGCAUGGCUGUCGUCAGCUCGUGUCGUGAGAUGUUGGGUUAAGUCCCGCAACGAGCGCAACCCUUGUUCACUGUUGCCAGCACGUUAUGGUGGGGACUCAGUGGAGACCGCCGGGGUCAACUCGGAGGAAGGUGGGGAUGACGUCAAGUCAUCAUGCCCCUUAUGUCCAGGGCUUCACGCAUGCUACAAUGGCUGGUACAGAGAGUGGCGAGCCUGUGAGGGUGAGCGAAUCUCGGAAAGCCGGUCUCAGUUCGGAUUGGGGUCUGCAACUCGACCUCAUGAAGUCGGAGUCGCUAGUAAUCGCAGAUCAGCAACGCUGCGGUGAAUACGUUCCCGGGGCU
Molecule: ribosomal RNA, 1346 nt
Filed under: uncultured bacterium
Lineage: Bacteria
Description: bacterial SSU rRNA
Rfam family: Bacterial small subunit ribosomal RNA
Source: RNAcentral